Molecule: RNase P RNA, 343 nt
Filed under: chicken gut metagenome
Description: Bacterial RNase P class A
Rfam family: Bacterial RNase P class A
About the family: Ribonuclease P (RNase P) is a ubiquitous endoribonuclease, found in archaea, bacteria and eukarya as well as chloroplasts and mitochondria.
Source: RNAcentral
GUUAAUCAUACGGUCGCGGGCCGCUUGCGCGGCGUGAGGAAAGUCCGAGCAUCGCAGGGCAAUGAUGCCUGCUAACGGCAGGAGGAGGCGACUUCAAGGAAAGUGAACAGAAAUAUACCGCAGAGUUUUUCUCUGUAAGGUUGGAAUGGCGAGGUAAGAGCUCACCGUCGCUUUGGUAACAAGGCGAGCCAAUUAAACCCCAUCAGAUGCAAGAUUGGGUCAGGGGCUGCGUUUAAUCGCGGGGCUGCCCGUCCGUCCCUGGCUGUUAAUAUCGCUUUAACUUAUCGGUGACGAUAAGUAUAGAUAGAUGACCGUACACGACAGAACUCGGCUUACAGAUUAA